This 415-nucleotide ribosomal RNA is filed under the name uncultured bacterium. RNAcentral's name for it is "bacterial SSU rRNA". It matches the Rfam family "Bacterial small subunit ribosomal RNA", at positions 114 to 546 of the family's 1533-position model. The record is from RNAcentral.
CGCGUGGGUAACCUACCCUGGUACACACGGAUAACAUACCGAAAGGUAUGCUAAUACGGGAUAAUAUAUUUGAGAGGCAUCUCUUGAAUAUCAAAGGUGAGCCAGUACAGGAUGGACCCGCGUCUGAUUAGCUAGUUGGUAAGGUAACGGCUUACCAAGGCGACGAUCAGUAGCCGACCUGAGAGGGUGAUCGGCCACAUUGGAACUGAGACACGGUCCAAACUCCUACGGGAGGCAGCAGUGGGGAAUAUUGCACAAUGGGCGAAAGCCUGAUGCAGCAACGCCGCGUGAGUGAUGAAGGCCUUCGGGUCGUAAAACUCUGUCCUCAAGGAAGAUAAUGACGGUACUUGAGGAGGAAGCCCCGGCUAACUACGUGCCAGCAGCCGCGGUAAUACGUACGGGGCUAGCGUUAUCC